AACGAACGCUGGCGGCAGGCUUAACACAUGCAAGUCGAGCGCCCCGCAAGGGGAGCGGCAGACGGGUGAGUAACGCGUGGGAACAUACCCUUUGGUUCGGAAUAACUCAGGGAAACUUGAGCUAAUACCGGAUACGUCCGUAAGGAGAAAGAUUUAUCGCCAAAGGAUUGGCCCGCGUCCGAUUAGCUAGUUGGUGAGGUAACGGCUCACCAAGGCUACGAUCGGUAGCUGGUCUGAGAGGAUGAUCAGCCACAUUGGGACUGAGACACGGCCCAAACUCCUACGGGAGGCAGCAGUGGGGAAUAUUGGACAAUGGGCGCAAGCCUGAUCCAGCCAUGCCGCGUGAGUGAUGAAGGCCUUAGGGUUGUAAAGCUCUUUUGUCCGGGAAGAUAAUGACUGUACCGGAAGAAUAAGCCCCGGCUAACUUCGUGCCAGCAGCCGCGGUAAU
This 448-nucleotide ribosomal RNA is filed under the name uncultured bacterium. RNAcentral describes it as "bacterial SSU rRNA". It matches the Rfam family "Bacterial small subunit ribosomal RNA", at positions 29 to 524 of the family's 1533-position model. The record is from RNAcentral.